This 321-nucleotide ribosomal RNA is filed under the name uncultured eukaryote. RNAcentral describes it as "partial 18S ribosomal RNA". It matches the Rfam family "Eukaryotic small subunit ribosomal RNA", at positions 1470 to 1796 of the family's 1831-position model. The record is from RNAcentral.
CCCUUAGAUGUUCUGGGCUGCACGCGCGCUACACUGACACACUCAGCGAGUCUCCUGGUCCGAGAGGAUUGGGUAAUCAUGUGAGCGUGUGUCGUGAUGGGGAUAGAAUAUUGUAAUUAUUACUCUUCAACGAGGAAUUCCUAGUAAGCGCGAGUCAGCAGCUCGCGCUGAUUACGUCCCUGCCCUUUGUACACACCGCCCGUCGCUCCUACCAAUGGGUGAUCCGGUGAAUGACUCGGACUCUGGAAUUAGCUAUUUAUAGCUUUUAUCCGGAGGAAGUUUUGUGAACCUUAUCACUUGGAGGAAGGAGAAGUCGUAACA